UACCCAGAAUGCCCUGCGCUGUGCACUUCCUGCUUUUGGAGCGGUCUCCGGGCCGCUUGGCGUUCACAUAUGCAUGUGGGCAGCAUCAGAGUCGUGUUGCCAGGUUGGGCUGCUUUUCACAUCAUUUUUUGAGAUUUAAAUAAAAAUUCUUUCUAAAUAGUUUGCAAAAAAAGCACAAAACGUCUAAAAAAUGCAGUGUUACUACAUUUAUUUGAUUAGUUUAUUUAUCUAUGGAAAUCCCAGGGUAACAUCUUAAUUUAAGAGAACAAAAACUCAAGUCUCAUUUUGUUCAGAGAUUCAAGUUCUUUGCAGUCCCAGUGGGAAAUGGUUCUGGUCAGAAUACAGAACAAACAAAACGUACGUGAAUCACAGUCGAUUACAUGUGGGACUAUCAACAAGGGUUUUAUUUUUGGGCUGGUUUUAGUUUUUUGACGGGUUUUAUGUUAUUUUUGGCUGGAGACGUUCAGUCAGAUCUGACAACCCCGCAGUUUAUUUCAACCAAACAGAAACCGAGGUCUGGAAGUGGACCGGAGUUCAGUUACAUAUUCAUACCUUCACAAACGAACCGGACUUUCUAGACAAGAGGACUGGAGUUGGAUUAAAACGGACUGAGUUGGAUUUAAAAAGCCCGAUGUGAAAUUAUUCCCGGCUGUUCUCUCAUUCUCUGAAGCAGGAAGUAAAUCCUCCUCCUUGGUAUUUGACUGUAUGUCAGUAUUUGUGGCCCUGGAGGCACCAACAGCAGCCUGAACCCGUUAGCCCUGGUAUCGUUGCCGUCGUUCUCCAGGGUUCAUCUCCACUCAGCAGAUCAGACGCAGAAACAGGCCGAGACAGUUUGGGAGCUGAGGAGAGCCAGGAGGAGUCGCUCCGCGCCAAGCUAAAUAUAGCGCUCUGCUAAUCUAAUUACCAUCCAACAUUUCCUUUGAGGUGGAGAUCAGUGGCUCAGAGCAGCUGUCAUGUCAGAACGUCUCCUCCUCAGCUGCAGCAUCCAAACAGCAUACUCUCAUACUUUGUAGCUUCUUACACUAAUCACUUGAUGCCAGCUGAUCUCCAGAGGAAAUCCUUUGUGAUUUUGUUUGUUUUUAAAGUGCAAUAAAAACUUUGAUUGGUGUUUUAGUGGCUGAAACAUUUUAUCUAAACAAAUGCUUUAAAAGUGAUAAAUUAAUUGAUUUUAAAGGUUUAAAAACAGAGAAGAUCUGUUGAUUUUUGGGCAUUCAACAAUCAAUUGUUCAUUCUGUACCCAGAAUGCAUUGCUGCUGAUCUCCUGCAUGCUUUGUGGCUAAUGAAACAAAACCAUUAACAGAGUUAUUAAUAUUCAUCUAUAAAACUGAAACUCAGUGAAAGUUCUGUUCUGGAGACCGACUUCCUGAAGUUAAAUCUGAUCUGUAGUAGCAACUGUGAUCCUGUUGAGGGCGAUAUAACACGUUGUGUCAACACUAAGUAAUGUUUAUGAUUAGGGCUUGUGGGUUAGCGCAGCUAGCUUCUUAGCUAGUGGCGUUCACCACUGGAUUUAGCAGAUCAUGGUGAAAACUUGGACCAGUAUAAAUAUUGCUUUUAUGGAUAUUUACCAGUAUUACAUACACUGGUUCUCUGGUUCAGUUAAACACUCCAGUCAAUGUCACAUGACCAGACAGGCACUACAUGACUGACCCUAAUCAUAAACAUUAGCUAUGCUAGCGCUAAAGCGCUACACCAAGACAUUUUGUAGAAGCUAACGCGCUAAAUUCAUCGCUGUCACAUGUCCUUAAAGGGCCUCACUACCUGAAGUAGCACAGACAUUGAACUUUAUUCUACUGAAAGUUUAAAAACCUCAAAGUAAAUUAGCACUAAGUGCGCUAGGUGUUUUCAACUGAAAAAUUAGCUCCACUUUUAGCUAAUUAGCGGAAGUGUGCCCACCACAGGCAAGAGGAAAGUGAAACGCCUGCUGUACUUCUGAAGCUCCGUGUGUUUCCCUCUCAGGACUUGUUUUGGUCCUAAAUAACUAACGUCCCAGUGGAAAGAUGUCCGACUUCGGUCUGAACGUCCUCCAGCUCAGGAAGCACAUAUUUGUUUGGAUCUCCUGUAACUCAAUAAUCACUCGUCAUGUGACACCGCAGAGGGAGGGUAAGUAUAGAAAGUUCGAGCAAAACAAAAACGAGGAGACGACAGCAUGACGACACCCGACUGCCAAGGAAGAGUCACCGCAGAGCCGCCGUCUUCAUCUGAAUCCGCAUUCAGAGCCCGGCUCAUUAGGUGCUGAGCUUUCAGCUUCUCAGGAUCAAUGAUGGAGGAAAAUAUAAAUGUGAUGCUUCCAGUUUAGCUUCUGUUCAGGGAGUUUAAUAUUUGGUUGAAGGUAGAAAUGUUACGGUCAUGUUUAGCACCAACUGACAUGAGUUAUUGCUGCCAUGCCUGCCAUGCCAGGCCAUUAAAGGGCUUCACAGCGGCCGAGGCGCGGAUCAUCUCCUGUUUCUGCAGCUUCUGAUGAUUGACAAGCUUUAAAGAGAGAAGAGCUUCGCUCAGGGUGUCACAUUUACGGUGGGUUGCUGUGUUUUUGUGGCUGAAGUUCCUCAGGGUUCUGGUCUGAGUCUCCUUAAUUUACUUGUAGUUGACAGUUCACUGCAGAGCUGAUGAUUGAUUUGAGAUUUAGUGCUUUAGAGCAACCGCAGCAGAACAGAGAGCGUAUUUCAACCAUCAGGAGGUCCAAUCGCUCAGCCUGUUCACUCUGGGAUGUCAGGACGGCCGAUUCCCCAGCACAAGAAGUGGCUUCACCUGGUGGACCUGCUGAAGGGGGAAGUCUGUCUGUCUGUCUGUCUGUCUGUCUGUCUGUCUGUCUGUCUGUCUGUCUGUCUGUCUGUCCGUCCGUCCGUCCGUCCGUCCGUCCGUCCGUCCGUCCGUCCGUCCGUCUGUUUGUUUCUCUCCUCACCCCAAAGGCAUUUUCAGGGGAUUCCUGCAGGAAUUUCUGUCAUUACUCAGCAGCUGUGAUCAUUUCCAGCUCAGGUUGGACUGGACCGGGACGCUCAGUGUCUCUCAUCCUGUUGGUCCUCCAGCAGGACAGGAAGUUGCCUGUACAGGUUGUCUGGUUCUCUUUUCAGAGAGUCUUCAGCCUAUAAAGUCUGAACUAGUGGCUCAGUCUGAAACGGUUGACAUGAGAGUCUCAGCUGGAAACGUUCUUCAUCACCAGGUCCGUCUUCUCAUCUGAUCAAGUUUGAAUCAUGACCUAGAAAACAGAUUCCUGCUCACAAGCAGCUGAGAUGAGCCUCUUCAAGGCGCCUGAAGCCAAAGUCACGUCUCACUCUAGGCGGUUCAUGUCAAGCCAAGUUGUGUGUCUUCAUUGACAGAGUGUGAAUAUUGACAGGAAGGUGGAGCUGCAGUCAUUCACCUCCAUGUGUAGCUUUGAGUCUCAGUUUCUCUGAAAUCUCUCUUCUGCCAUAGUUGAUAAAAACAUUUAAACCUCCAGUCUGGGACUGAAAACGUGGUUCUGACAAUAUUCAAGGAGUUUUAAAGUUCUGCGUUUGCUCAUCCAGAGACGUAAAUCCAUGGAGCAGUCAACGAAUGCCGUCUGCUGCCGAUCAAAUCGCCUCUGCACAAUUUGUCUCGUCUCUAAGGCGCUUCCAAAACCCGGAGAGGAUAAGGCGAGGCUCUCCAUCGUCUGGGAGGAGCUGAGAGUAAAACCGCUGCCUGUUGAUCUUGUGUGGAUCUCGUGACCCGACCUGCCAGCGUUGCCUCUUACCCAGAGGAAUCUUCUCCAG
Gambusia affinis (western mosquitofish) is the source of this 3725-nucleotide long non-coding RNA. RefSeq lists it as uncharacterized. The record is from RefSeq and is a predicted model, not a curated record. Lineage: Eukaryota; Metazoa; Chordata; Actinopteri; Cyprinodontiformes; Poeciliidae. The transcript is spliced from 3 exons.